AGUGAACGCUGGCGGUAGGCCUAACACAUGCAAGUCGAACGGCAGCACAGGAGAGCUUGCUCUCUGGGUGGCGAGUGGCGGACGGGUGAGGAAUACAUCGGAAUCUACUCUGUCGUGGGGGAUAACGUAGGGAAACUUACGCUAAUACCGCAUACGACCUACGGGUGAAAGCAGGGGACCUUCGGGCCUUGCGCGAUUGAAUGAGCCGAUGUCGGGUUAGCUAGUUGGCGGGGUAAAGGCCCACCAAGGCGACGGUCCGUAGCUGGUCUGAGAGGAUGAUCAGCCACACUGGAACUGAGACACGGUCCAGACUCCUACGGGAGGCAGCAGUGGGGAAUAUUGGACAAUGGGCGCAAGCCUGAUCCAGCCAUACCGCGUGGGUGAAGAAGGCCUUCGGGUUGUAAAGCCCUUUUGUUGGGAAAGAAAUCCAGCUGGCUAAUACCCGGUUGGGAUGACGGUACCCAAAGACUAAGCACCGGCUAACUUCGUGCCAGCAGCCGCCGUAA
Molecule: ribosomal RNA, 506 nt
Filed under: uncultured bacterium
Lineage: Bacteria
Description: partial 16S ribosomal RNA
Rfam family: Bacterial small subunit ribosomal RNA
Source: RNAcentral